GAUGAACGCUGGCGGCGUGCCUAAUACAUGCAAGUCGAGCGAACAGACGAGGAGCUUGCUCCUCUGACGUUAGCGGCGGACGGGUGAGUAACACGUGGAUAACCUACCUAUAAGACUGGGAUAACUUCGGGACACCGGAGCUAAUACCGGAUAAUAUAUUGAACCGCAUGGUUCAAUAGUGAAAGACGGUGUUGCUGUCACUUAUAGAUGGAUCCGCGCCGCAUUAGCUAGUUGGUAAGGUAACGGCUUACCAAGGCAACGAUGCGUAGCCGAGCUGAGAGGGUGAUCGGCCACCCUGGAACUGGGCCACGGUCCAGGCUCCUACGGGAGGCAGCAGUAGGGUAUCGUCCGCAGUGGGCGAAAGCCUGACGGAGCAGCGCCGCGUGAGUGAUGAAGGUCUUCGGAUCGUAAAACUCUGUUAUUAGGGAAGAACAAAUGUGGAAGUAACUAUGCACGUCUUGACGGUACCUAGUCAGAAAGCCACGGCUAACUACGUG
This 497-nucleotide ribosomal RNA is filed under the name uncultured bacterium. RNAcentral describes it as "partial 16S ribosomal RNA". It matches the Rfam family "Bacterial small subunit ribosomal RNA", at positions 28 to 507 of the family's 1533-position model. The record is from RNAcentral.